RNAcentral lists this ribosomal RNA (408 nucleotides) under uncultured bacterium. RNAcentral's name for it is "partial 16S ribosomal RNA". It matches the Rfam family "Bacterial small subunit ribosomal RNA", at positions 29 to 526 of the family's 1533-position model. The record is from RNAcentral.
AGUGAACGCUGGCGGUGUGCCUAAUACAUGCAAGUCGAACGAAGUGCCGCACGGGUGAGUAAUAUAUAGUUAAACUGCCCCACACCGAGAAACAACAGUAGGAAACGAAUGCUAAUACCUCAUAGUGUAGGAUGAGACUAUAUCGUAUCAGCUAUUUGGUAAGGUAAUGGCUGACCAAGGCUACGACGCGUAACUGGUCUGAGGGGAUGAUCAGUCACAUUGGAACUGAUACACGGUCCAAGCUCCUACGGGAGGCAGCAGUAAGGAAUAUUGCGCAAUGGGGGAAACCCUGACGCAGCAACGCCGCGUGGUGGAUGACACUUUUCGGAGCGUAAACUCCUUGUAUCAGGAAAGCGGUACCUGAUGAAUAAGCACCGGCUAACUCCGUGCCAGCAGCCGCGGUAAUUC